UGUACACGCUGUGACUAGCAUAUCAAUAAGCGGAGGAAAAGAAACUAACAAGGAUUCCCCUAGUAACGGUGAGUGAAGCGGGAAGAGCUCAAAUUUGAAAUCUUAAAGGGUUUCCCUUUACGAAUUGUAGUUUAAAGAAGUGUUUUCUGUUGAGGUUUUGGUAAAAGUUCUUUGGAAUAGGACAUCAUAGAGGGUGAGAAUCCCGUAUUUGACCUUUACUUUCAACUUUGUGAUACACUUUCAAAGAGUCGGAUUGUUUGGGAAUGCAGUCCAAAAUGGGUGGUAAAUUUCAUCUAAAGCUAAAUAUUGGCGAGAGACCGAUAGCGAACAAGUACCGUGAGGGAAAGAUGAAAAGAACUUUGAAAAGAGAGUUAAACAGUACGUGAAAUUGUCAAAAGGGAAGCGUUUGACACCAGUGUUGUUUUUCUGAAAAUCAAUUAAAGAACUGUUUAUGCUAAGUUGUUUAGACUUUAUCAGCUAACUGUUUAGUUUUGAGCUUUUCUUUAAUGCACUUUUCAGUUAACAAGUCAACAUCAAUUUCUUUUGCUGUAAAAAAGCUUGAGGAAGGUGGCUUGAGAUUCGUCUUAAGUGUUUAUAGCCUCUUGCCUAUGCAGUCGGAGAGAUUGAGGUCUGCAGCGUAGAUCCUUCGGGGCUAAAUGCAUUUGUGCUAAGUUAUAGCAUUUUAUAGACAACUUGUUGACUAUGAUUUGUCUUGUAGCUUACUCGCUUAUGUUAUUUUACCUACGCUUAGGAUGUUGAAGAUGUAGCACAUCAU
This 775-nucleotide ribosomal RNA is filed under the name uncultured Neocallimastigales. Its description in RNAcentral is "partial large subunit ribosomal RNA". It matches the Rfam family "Eukaryotic large subunit ribosomal RNA", at positions 22 to 635 of the family's 3401-position model. The record is from RNAcentral. Lineage: Eukaryota; Fungi; Neocallimastigomycota; Neocallimastigomycetes; Neocallimastigales.